RNAcentral lists this ribosomal RNA (375 nucleotides) under uncultured Anoxybacillus sp. RNAcentral describes it as "bacterial SSU rRNA". It matches the Rfam family "Bacterial small subunit ribosomal RNA", at positions 1008 to 1382 of the family's 1533-position model. The record is from RNAcentral. Lineage: Bacteria; Bacillati; Bacillota; Bacilli; Caryophanales; Anoxybacillaceae.
GGGCGUUCCCCUUCGGGGGGACAGGGUGACAGGUGGUGCAUGGUUGUCGUCAGCUCGUGUCGUGAGAUGUUGGGUUAAGUCCCGCAACGAGCGCAACCCUCGACCUUAGUUGCCAGCAUUCAGUUGGGCACUCUAAGGUGACUGCCGGCUAAAAGUCGGAGGAAGGUGGGGAUGACGUCAAAUCAUCAUGCCCCUUAUGACCUGGGCUACACACGUGCUACAAUGGGCGGUACAAAGGGUCGCGAACCCGCGAGGGGGAGCCAAUCCCAAAAAGCUGCUCUCAGUUCGGAUUGCAGGCUGCAACUCGCCUGCAUGAAGCCGGAAUCGCUAGUAAUCGCGGAUCAGCAUGCCGCGGUGAAUACGUUCCCGGGCCUU